Molecule: ribosomal RNA, 486 nt
Filed under: uncultured bacterium
Lineage: Bacteria
Description: partial 16S ribosomal RNA
Rfam family: Bacterial small subunit ribosomal RNA
Source: RNAcentral
AUUGAACGCUGGCGGCAUGCCUUACACAUGCAAGUCGAACGGCAGCACGGGUGCUUGCACCUGGUGGCGAGUGGCGAACGGGUGAGUAAUACAUCGGAACAUGUCCUGUAGUGGGGGAUAGCCCGGCGAAAGCCGGAUUAAUACCGCAUACGAUCUACGGAUGAAAGCGGGGGACCUUCGGGCCUCGCGCUAUCGGGUUGGCCGAUGGCUGAUUAGCUAGUUGGUGGGGUAAAGGCCUACCAAGGCGACGAUCAGUAGAUGGUCUGAGAGGACGACCAGCCACACUGGGACUGAGACACGGCCCAGACUCCUACGGGAGGCAGCAGUGGGGAAUUUUGGACAAUGGGCGAAAGCCUGAUCCAGCAAUGCCGCGUGUGUGAAGAAGGCCUUCGGGUUGUAAAGCACUUUUGUCCGGAAAGAAAUCCUUGGCUCUAAUACAGUCGGGGGAUGACGGUACCGGAAGAAUAAGCACCGGCUAACUACGUG